ACGGGGGGGGCAAGCGUUGUUCGGAAUUACUGGGCGUAAAGGGCGCGUAGGCGGUUUGCUAAGUUGAAUGUGAAAACUCUGGGCUUAACCCAGAGCCUGCAUUCAAUACUGGCAGGCUGGAGUUCUGGAGGGGAUAGCGGAAUUCCUGGUGUAGCGGUGAAAUGCGUAGGUAUCAGGAGGAACACCGGUGGCGAAGGCGGCUCGCUGGGACGGUACUGACGCUGAGACGCGAAAGCGUGGGGAGCAAACAGGA
This 253-nucleotide ribosomal RNA is filed under the name uncultured prokaryote. RNAcentral describes it as "partial 16S ribosomal RNA". It matches the Rfam family "Bacterial small subunit ribosomal RNA", at positions 525 to 777 of the family's 1533-position model. The record is from RNAcentral.